RNAcentral lists this unclassified non-coding RNA (329 nucleotides) under soil metagenome. RNAcentral describes it as "partial contains 5.8S ribosomal RNA, internal transcribed spacer 2, and large subunit ribosomal RNA". The stretch from base 1 to 120 matches the Rfam family "5.8S ribosomal RNA", at positions 35 to 154 of the family's 154-position model. The record is from RNAcentral.
GAUGAAGAACGCAGCGAAAUGCGAUAAGUAAUGUGAAUUGCAGAAUUCAGUGAAUCAUCGAAUCUUUGAACGCACAUUGCGCCCCCUGGUAUUCCGGGGGGCAUGCCUGUCCGAGCGUCAUUACAACCCUCAAGCUCAGCUUGGUGUUGGGCCCCGCCGCCCCGGCGGGCCCUAAAGUCAGUGGCGGUGCCGUCCGGCUCCGAGCGUAGUAAUUCUUCUCGCUCUGGAGGUCCGGUCGUGUGCUCGCCAGCAACCCCCAAUUUUUUUCAGGUUGACCUCGGAUCAGGUGGGACUACCCGCUGAACUUAAGCAUAUCAAUAAGCGGAGGA